UAUUGGACAAUGGGCGCAAGCCUGAUCCAGCAAUGCCGCGUGAGUGAAGAAGGCCCUAGGGUUGCAAAGCUCUUUCGCCCGCGACGAUGAUGACGGUAGCGGGAGAAGAAGCCCCGGCUAACUCCGUGCCAGCAGCCGCGGUAAUACGGAGGGGGCUAGCGUUGUUCGGAAUUACUGGGCGUAAAGGGCGCGUAGGCGGCCCGCCAAGUCCGGCGUGAAAGUCCUGGGCUCAACCCGGGGACGGCGCUGGAGACUGGCGGGCUGGAGUCCGGGAGAGGGUGGCGGAAUUCCCAGUGUAGAGGUGAAAUUCGUAGAUAUUGGGAAGAACACCGGUGGCGAAGGCGGCCACCUGGCCCGGGACUGACGCUGAGGCGCGAAAGCGUGGGGAGCGAAC
Molecule: ribosomal RNA, 394 nt
Filed under: uncultured bacterium
Lineage: Bacteria
Description: bacterial SSU rRNA
Rfam family: Bacterial small subunit ribosomal RNA
Source: RNAcentral